This 964-nucleotide ribosomal RNA is filed under the name metagenome. RNAcentral describes it as "bacterial SSU rRNA". It matches the Rfam family "Bacterial small subunit ribosomal RNA", at positions 137 to 1173 of the family's 1533-position model. The record is from RNAcentral.
UCGGGAAUAACUGUGAGAAAUCGCAGCUAAUGUCCGAUGUGGAGGAAACUCUAAAGAUUUAUCGAUUAGGGAUGAGCCUGUGGCCUAUCAGCUAGUUGGUGAGGUAAAGGCUCACCAAGGCUAUGACGGGUACCGGAUCUGAGAGGAUGUACCGGCAGAGGGGCACUGAGACACGGGCCUCACUCCUACGGGAGGCAGCAAUCGGGAAUUUUGCGCAAUGGACGAAAGUCUGACGCAGCGACACCGCGUGGAGGAUGAAUGCCUUCGGGUUGUAAACUCCUAUCAAAAAGCACCGGCUAACUACGUGCCAGCAGCAGCGGUCAAACGUAGGGUGCAAGCAUUAUCCGGAUUUACUGGGCGUAAAGAGUUCUGUAGGCGGUGACAUAAGUUGAUAGUUAAAUCUUUCGGCCUAACCGAAAGGCUGCUUUCAAUACUGUGUUGCUAGAGUCAGCUAGGGGACAGUGGAAUUCGUGGUGGAGCAGUGAAAUGCGUUGAUAUCACGAGGAACACCAAGGGAGAAGUCAACUGUCUGGGGCUGUACUGACGCUGAGAGACGAAAGCUAGGGGAGAGAAAAGGAUUAGAUACCCUUGUAUUCCUAGCUGUAAACGAUGCCUGCUAGAUACUUGGUUUUAUAACUGAGCGUCGAAGCUAACGCGUUAAGCAGGCCGCCUGGGGAGUACGGUCGCAAGGCUAAAACUCAAAGGAAUUGGCGGGGACCCGCACAAGCGGUGGAGCAUGCUCUUUAAUUGGUUGAUAACCCAAGAACCUCACCCAGACUUGACAUGUUUGUAGUAGGAAUCCGAAAGGUGACCGAUCCUGAAUUUAUUCGGGAAGCAUACACAGGUGUUGCAUGGCUGUCGUCAGCUCGUACCGUGAGGCGUACCCUUAAGUGGGUUAACGAGCGCAACCCCUACUGCUAGUUGUAUCACUCUAGCGGAACUGCCAUCGUAAGAUGGAGGAAGG